This 434-nucleotide ribosomal RNA is filed under the name uncultured Lachnospiraceae bacterium. Its description in RNAcentral is "bacterial SSU rRNA". It matches the Rfam family "Bacterial small subunit ribosomal RNA", at positions 341 to 792 of the family's 1533-position model. Lineage: Bacteria; Bacillati; Bacillota; Clostridia; Lachnospirales; Lachnospiraceae. The record is from RNAcentral.
ACGGAAGGCAGCAGUGGGGGAUAUUGCACAAUGGGGGAAACCCUGAUGCAGCGACGCCGCGUGAGUGAAGAAGUAUUUCGGUAUGUAAAGCUCUAUCAGCAGGGAAGAGAAUGACGGUACCUGAGUAAGAAGCCCCGGCUAACUACGUGCCAGCAGCCGCGGUAAUACGUAGGGGGCAAGCGUUAUCCGGAUUUACUGGGUGUAAAGGGAGCGUAGACGGCAAAGCAAGUCUGAAGUGAAAGCCCGGGGCUCAACCCCGGGACUGCUUUGGAAACUGUUCUGCUAGAGUGCUGGAGAGGUAAGCGGAAUUCCUAGUGUAGCGGUGAAAUGCGUAGAUAUUAGGAGGAACACCAGUGGCGAAGGCGGCUUACUGGACAGUAACUGACGUUGAGGCUCGAAAGCGUGGGGAGCAAACAGGAUUAGAUACCCUGGUA